GGAUGCGAUCAUACCAGCACUAACGCACCGGAUCCCAUCAGAACUCCGAAGUUAAGCGUGCUUGGGCGAGAGUAGUACUAGGAUGGGUGACCCCCUGGGAAGUCCUCGUGUUGCAUCCU
Non-coding RNA from Nicotiana sylvestris (wood tobacco), 119 nucleotides. Lineage: Eukaryota; Viridiplantae; Streptophyta; Magnoliopsida; Solanales; Solanaceae. The record is from Rfam.